This 94-nucleotide small RNA is filed under the name Vibrio crassostreae. Its description in RNAcentral is "Qrr". It matches the Rfam family "Qrr RNA". Rfam says of the family: This family represents a set of small RNAs (the Qrr RNAs) that are thought to be involved in the regulation of quorum sensing in Vibrio species. It is believed that these RNAs, guided by a protein, Hfq, can mediate the destabilisation of the quorum-sensing master regulators LuxR/HapR mRNAs. Lineage: Bacteria; Pseudomonadati; Pseudomonadota; Gammaproteobacteria; Vibrionales; Vibrionaceae. The record is from RNAcentral.
UGACCUUCGGGUCACCUAGCCAACUGACGUUGUUAGUGAACCGAGUGUUCACAAACGUAAGCCAGUAGAACAAUUACUACUGGCUCUUUUUUGU